GACGAACGCUGGCGGCGUGCUUAACACAUGCCAGUCGAACGGAAAGGCCCUGCUUUUGUGGGGUGCUCGAGUGGCGAACGGGUGAGUAACACGUGAGUAACCUGCCCUUUACUUUGGGAUAACUUCAGGAAACUGGGGCUAAUACCGGAUAGGAGCUCCUGCUGCAUGGUGGGGGUUGGAAAGUUUCGGCGGUUGGGGAUGGACUCGCGGCUUAUCAGCUUGUUGGUGGGGUAGUGGCUUACCAAGGCUUUGACGGGUAGCCGGGCUGAGAGGGUUAACGGCAACAUUGGGACUGAGAGACGGACCAGAAUGCAAGGGGAGGCAGCAGUGGGGAAUAUUGCACAAUGGGCGGAAGCCUGAUGAAGCAAAGCAGCGUGCGGGAUGACGGCCUUCGGGUUGUAAACCGCUUUCGCCUGUGACGAAGCGUGAGUGACGGUAAUGGGUAAAGAAGCACCGGCUAACUACGUG
This 468-nucleotide ribosomal RNA is filed under the name uncultured bacterium. RNAcentral describes it as "partial 16S ribosomal RNA". It matches the Rfam family "Bacterial small subunit ribosomal RNA", at positions 28 to 507 of the family's 1533-position model. The record is from RNAcentral.